CAAAAACAUAGCCACGUGGAUUUACUCGUGGUGUUUUCUGCUCAAUGAAUUUUUAAAUAGCCGCAGUACCCUGACUGUGCAAAGGUAGCGUAAUCACUUGUCUUUUAAUUGAAGUCGCGUAUGAAAGAAUAUAUGGGGGUCUACUUUACCAGUAAUAGACUGUGAAAUUACUAAGUGAGUGCCAAUUCUCACACAUAUUAAAUAGACGAGAAGACCCUAGAAAUUUUCACAUUUGUUUUUGUUGGGGCAACAUAGUAUCAAGUAAUUUACUAUAUGUAUAUGAAAUAUAUUUGGCAGACUAAAUUACUCUAGGGAUAACAGCAUAAUUAAUUACCGUUUGUGACCUCGAUGUUGGAUUAGGAAAUUAUAACCUAAAAGGCGGGUGAUUUUGCUCUGUUCGA
This 401-nucleotide ribosomal RNA is filed under the name Spurlingia tinarooensis. Its description in RNAcentral is "partial 16S ribosomal RNA". It matches the Rfam family "Archaeal large subunit ribosomal RNA", at positions 1900 to 2653 of the family's 2987-position model. The record is from RNAcentral. Lineage: Eukaryota; Metazoa; Mollusca; Gastropoda; Stylommatophora; Camaenidae.